Pelobates cultripes (western spadefoot toad) is the source of this 2339-nucleotide non-coding RNA. The record is from the annotation of a GenBank genome assembly. Lineage: Eukaryota; Metazoa; Chordata; Amphibia; Anura; Pelobatidae.
GCCUGACAUGAACUUCUAGAUACUUGCUUUAAAAAAAAAAAAUAGUUAUCUAUUGCCGUUUAGUCUAUAUACCAUAUCUGGGAACAUUUAGGGUUUUUAUUCCAGUCUCAGAAUUUAGGGUUUUUAUUCCAGUCUCAGAAUGAAUAGCACACUCUCAAGGUUAUAGAAUAGCAUGUUGGAUAAAACUUGUAUGUUCUAUUAUUGUAUAGCUUCCAUUAGGAGAAUUCUAAUAAGCGAUGUGUUCACAUUGUAUGCCCACUUGUUGAUUUAAAUGUAUUUAAUAGAUCAUGGUUAUUAUUUUCAGUAACUUUAAAGUAUAUCUGUAGUUUUGACAAAAAGAAUGAGCUGAAUAGAAUAUUACCACACCUGUUUUGAACCCCUGCAUGGUAACAUUUGGUAAAUAUUUCAAUGAUUGCUAAUGAAGUUAGGUGUGCACUAAGACAUCUGUGCCAUAAAUGAAUGCACACAUAAAUGCAUUACAUAGAUAAUCAUGUACAUGAUUAUUACUGGUGACAAAGCAGGAAUGUGAAAAGUUUUUUUUCUUUGUUUUUUUAAAGAGUUUGAAAAUGCAGACCUUUUUUUUGUUUAUCACUUUAAUCUUGAUGAUAGACAUCAAAACGAUACACUGUAACAUAUCACAGAAUUUAUAAAGCACAGUAUAAAGGGUGUUAGCUCUUCUAAAACGUUUAAUGGCAGCUUCUGUUCUCUCUAUCCUUGCUCUCACAAAGACCUUCCUCUGUUUAGCUUAAGUACCCUUGUCUGAUCCUGUUCUUGAGGACAAACUGCCAAUUGGACCAUCUGCCAUUUCACACGCUGACCUACCAGUACAGAUAUUCUUUUUUUUUUUUUUUUACACCAAAGAAAAGAAAAGGAAAAAAAUACAUAUAGAUACAUCGAAUAUAAAAAAUAAAUAAAUCUUAUAAUACCGUGCAGUAAUAAAAAAAAUGCAUGUUUUGGGGACGCCCUCUAAUCUAUCAACCCUAACUGAGUCAAGAGGUUCCCACAUGAAAGUUUCUUUCACUCUGUCCCACUGUCCCCAUACCUUAUCAUGUUUCUGGAAUGUGCCCAUCAACAAUUCAGGCAUGCUCAAAAUUUCUAUUACUUUAGCUAGCAUAGGUAAAUUAGUGGUCCUCCACUGCCUUGCAAUACACAGUUUUGUGAAACCAAUACAUGCAUGACCAUGGCACUAGAGACCUUUUGCCUGUCCAAAAUAAAUAUCUCUGCAUCCAAAGGUAAAGUGACAUUAGUUAAAGUAUUUAUCAGCAAUUAAAUAUUUAGCCAAAACUAUGUUAAUCGAAAGAAUAACCAAAAUACAUGAAUGAUGUAUCCAUGGUCUUUCUGGCACCACUGACAUGUAGGCAGAGACAAUGAGAACAUCUCAGCUAAUUUAUGCAGCACCAAGAACAACUACAUCAAUAGUUUGCAAUUUUUCUCCCCAUGGGGAAGUCUCAGAGGCCCUCCACACAUCUGGGAUACCGCUUUCCACCAUUGAUCCACAGAAAAAUCCUUAAGUCUAAUUUCAGUUUAACCAUAUAUUGUAACUUGUCUUUGGUUGUUCAGACAUAAUUAGCAUAGUUCCAGUGAUUUAACGUUACACUUAAUCCCUAAACAUAGCUUAUGAAGAGCAUAGGGGAAUCUAACAUAAUUAAACCGUUUACGUUUAAUAUCUCUUUGAUUCUCAGACACAAAAACAAUUCUGUGUUAGGAAGAGAAAAUUACACUUGAAUAUCUGAAAAGUGUUUAAUUGCCACCAGACCUAAAAGCUGCUUUUUAAAGUAACUCCUGUUUUUAUCCAUUUUUACAUAGAGAGAUCAUAAGUAAAUAAUUUCAAGACACAUAUUGGUGCAUAGAAGAGCUUAAAGGAUCACUAUAGGGUCAGGAACACAAACAUGUAUUCUUGACCCUAUAGUGUUAAAACCACCAUCUAGCCCCCCUGGGCCCCUGAUGCCUCCAUAUAUAGAGCAAAAUAUUACUGUAUACAAGCCUGAAGUUGUAGAUCUGCAUGAUGGUUGCCUCAGAAAAUCAAGCUGUCUGUGAAUAUAUGUGUGUCUGUAAGUACGUUUGUGAGUGUGUCUAUCUGUAUGUGUGUCUGUAUGUAAGUGUGUGUGUGUCUACAUGUCUGUGUGUAUAUAUGUGUGUGUGUAUGUAUGUGUGUCAGCAUGUACGUGCCUCUGUGUGUGUGUGUAUGUAUGUGUGUCAGCAUGUACGUGCCUCUGUGUGUGUGUGUGUGUGCGUGUGUCUGUAUGUAUGGGUCUCUGUUUGUAUGUGUGUGUGUUUGUAUCUAUGUGUGUGUUUGUGUGUAUGUGUGUCUGUAUGUAUGUGUGUUUGUAUGUGUGUCU